UACGUAGGGUGCAAGCGUUGUCCGGAAUUAUUGGGCGUAAAGAGCUCGUAGGCGGUCUGUCGCGUCGGAUGUGAAAACUCGGGGCUCAACCCCGAGCCUGCAGUCGAUACGGGCAGACUAGAGUUCGGUAGGGGAGACUGGAAUUCCUGGUGUAGCGGUGAAAUGCGCAGAUAUCAGGAGGAACACCGGUGGCGAAGGCGGGUCUCUGGGCCGAUACUGACGCUGAGGAGCGAAAGCGUGGGGAGCGAACAGG
Molecule: ribosomal RNA, 253 nt
Filed under: uncultured bacterium
Lineage: Bacteria
Description: partial 16S ribosomal RNA
Rfam family: Bacterial small subunit ribosomal RNA
Source: RNAcentral